This 459-nucleotide ribosomal RNA is filed under the name uncultured bacterium. Its description in RNAcentral is "partial 16S ribosomal RNA". It matches the Rfam family "Bacterial small subunit ribosomal RNA", at positions 338 to 795 of the family's 1533-position model. The record is from RNAcentral.
CCUACGGGAGGCAGCAGUGAGGAAUAUUGGUCAAUGGUCGGGAGACUGAACCAGCCAAGCCGCGUGAGGGAUGAAGGUACAGAGUAUCGUAAACCUCUUUUGUCAGGGAACAAAGGCGGGGACGUGUCCCCGGAUGAGUGUACCUGAAGAAAAAGCAUCGGCUAACUCCGUGCCAGCAGCCGCGGUAAUACGGAGGAUGCGAGCGUUAUCCGGAUUUAUUGGGUUUAAAGGGUGCGCAGGCGGUCUGUUAAGUCAGCGGUAAAAGCCCGGGGCUCAACCCCGGCCCGCCGUUGAAACUGGCAGUCUCGAGUUGGAGAGAAGUAUGCGGAAUGCGCGGUGUAGCGGUGAAAUGCAUAGAGAUCGCGCAGAACUGCGAUUGCGAAGGCAGCAUGCCGGCUCCACACUGACGCUGAGGCACGAAAGCGUGGGUAUCGAACAGGAUUAGAUACCCCUGUAGUC